GGCUGUCUCAAUAUAGGGCUGCAUUAAUCAAAUUGAUAUGACGUCUCACCAUUGACUUUAUUUGUUCUUUUCAUUAUGAUUAAUGGGAAGAAGCAUUAUGAUAGUCAUCAAGGUAUAUGGCAAAAUUAGAACAUUGUUAUAAAGGAAAUUUCUAAUGAAAUAAUAAACAAAAAGGUCACUUUUUACCUACCUGAUCAUGUACACCCUGGUAGGCAGAAUGCCAGGCCAGCCUCUGAUUCCAGGCUGGUCCCAAACCUCUGACCCCAAGGGAACAGCCUGGCUCCAUCCAUGCCCUGUGUCUCAGGUGCCUUUCUUAUUCCCAUGAGCUGGCUCAUCUGACAGUCAGUAGAUAUCUAUUAAGUCCCUACUGUGUGCCAGGCAUUCUUUUAGGUGCUAGGGAACUCAGCAGCAGUUGGACACAGCCCCUGCUCUCACUCAGUAGGUCUAGUGGGGGUACAAAUAGAGAAAUAAGAAAACUGAUCCUGGGAACUCCGUCAGGUCAGAGGCCCUGAGACGGUUUCUGGACACUGAGGACCCAAGGAUGAGCCGGACAUCUCCAGGCAGAGGGAACAGCGUGAGCAAAUGGCCUGUGUGUGUGUGUGCGUGCAUGCAUCGUGUGUGUUAGUCGCUCAGUUGUGCCAGACUCUUUGCGAGCCCAUGGACUAUAGCCCGUCAGGCUCCUCUGCCCAUGGCAUUCUCCAGGCAACUGGAGUGGGUUGCUAUUUCCUUCUCCAGGGGAUCUUCUUGAACCAGGGGUCAAAUCCAGGUCUCCCACAUUACCACCAGAUCCUUUACCAUCUGAGCCGCCAGGGAAGCCCAAGCGAAUGGCCUACUACCCAGCAAAUACCUGCCCCACAAAUGUGUGGAUUCAAACCCCUUGCGGAGUCUCUGGGUUACAGAAGCAGAGCUGGUCGCUUCCAAAGCUUCUGUGUGCCUCUCUCCUGAGGCUGGCGCUGCAUCGUGACUUGGCAAGGACAGGAGCUGAGCUGGAGGGAGUCCCGGGGAAGGUGCAGGGAGACCUGUCCCCCAGAGGGGAGCAGACUCAAGAUCUGGAGACUGGAGACGGUCCACUCGAGAGCGUGGACCCUCCCUAACCUCGUUAUCACGAACCCUUUCAAACCAUUACAUUCAAUUACAGGAACGCAGCCGGGAGGUUAAUACAAGCACACGGAUUGCUGAACAGUUAAUGAAAUCACAAUAAAAGAAUUCAAUGGCCACAAUCAAUUAUGAAUGUUAAAUCU
This 1241-nucleotide long non-coding RNA is filed under the name Ovis aries (sheep). RNAcentral describes it as "lncRNA (ENSOARG00000026297.1)". Lineage: Eukaryota; Metazoa; Chordata; Mammalia; Artiodactyla; Bovidae. The record is from RNAcentral.